UUCACCAGUGGCGUCUCCCUCUUCAAGAGCUUCCAGGGCACCUUGUGGCGGCGCCGGUGCAUCUGAAGGUUCUGGUCCCGCUGGAAUCCCUGGUUGCAGAUCUCACAGACGAAACGAUCUGAUUCAAGCAAGGUCUUGGGUCGGGCAAAUAUCAGCUUUACCACCCAAAUCUUUAAGCUUUCUGCCUGAAAAGAAGAAAAAGAAAGAGUAUAUCCACAAAUACUGAACCAAGAUUCAUGCAUAAACACUUCGAUUUUAUUUUAUUUUAUAGAUAUUAAAAUUCCUUUUCAAAUUUCUCA
This is a long non-coding RNA of Vigna angularis (adzuki bean), 299 nucleotides long. RefSeq lists it as uncharacterized. The record is from RefSeq and is a predicted model, not a curated record. The transcript is spliced from 2 exons. NCBI's taxonomy places the organism in Eukaryota, Viridiplantae, Streptophyta, Magnoliopsida, Fabales, Fabaceae.